UCCGUAGGUGAACCUGCGGAAGGAUCAUUACAGUAUUCUUUCUAAGCUGAAGUAGUUUACUGGGAGCUUUUUCUGCCUGCGCUGCUGAAAUAUUGCGUGCGCGGUGGUAAAGCACUUUGGUAGCUGUUUCAUUACAAAGCUUAGAAAACCCCUUACACACUUUGUUUUCUUAUUAGAGACAAAUUUGCUUUGGUCAGUUGCCGUGUAAAAGCGGUGAUUUUGGCCAGAGGUUAAACAAAACACUAAUAUUUUUAGUUUUUCCCCCGGGAAAGAUUAAGAACUUUAUUUUAAACUUUAGUCAGAAUUUAAGAAGUUUGUCUUACGACAGCUUUUCUAAACUUCAAAACUUUCAACAACGGAUCUCUUGGUUCUCGCAUCGAUGAAGAACGCAGCGAAAUGCGAUAAGUAAUGUGAAUUGCAGAUUUUCGUGAAUCAUUGAAUCUUUGAACGCACAUUGCGCCCUCUGGUAUUCCAGAGGGCAUGCCUGUUUGAGCGUCAUUUCCUUCUCAAACCCUAGGGUUUGGUGAUGGGCAGUACUCUGGCUUGUUCAGAGUUUGCCUGAAAAGGAUUGGCAUGAGUUUUUGAUAUGAACUGCAGCUGUUUAUUCAAUGUAUUAGGUUUAGUCCAUCGUUGAUUGACGACUGUUAAUUUAUUUCAAAACUUGGCUCUGCCUAACAAAUUUUAUCAUAAAGUUGACCUCAAAUCCGGUAGAUGUAA
Molecule: ribosomal RNA, 717 nt
Filed under: Ogataea sp. 11-483
Lineage: Eukaryota; Fungi; Ascomycota; Pichiomycetes; Pichiales; Pichiaceae
Description: eukaryotic LSU rRNA
Rfam family: 5.8S ribosomal RNA (bases 345-498)
Source: RNAcentral